CCUACGGGAUGCACCAGUCGAGAAUCUUCGGCAAUGGACGAAAGUCUGACCGAGCGACGCCGCGUGCGGGAUGAAGGCCCUCGGGUUGUAAACCGCUGUCAGUUGGGAGGAAAUGCUAUGGGGUUCUCCCCAUAGCUUGACCGAUCUUCAGAGGAAGGACGGGCUAAGUUCGUGCCAGCAGCCGCGGUAAGACGAACCGUCCAAACGUUAUUCGGUAUCACUGGGCUUAAAGCGUGCGUAGGCGGCCUGGUAGGUGAGAUGUGAAAGCCCACGGCUCAACCGUGGAAUUGCGUUUCAAACCACCAGGCUCGAGGAUGGCAGGGGUGAUGGGAACUGAUGGUGGAGCGGUGAAAUGCGUUGAUAUCAUCAGGAACACCGGUGGCGAAGGCGCAUCACUGGGCCAUUUCUGACGCUGAGGCACGAAAGCUAGGGUAGCGAACGGGAUUAGAUACCCGUGUAGUC
This 462-nucleotide ribosomal RNA is filed under the name uncultured bacterium. RNAcentral's name for it is "bacterial SSU rRNA". It matches the Rfam family "Bacterial small subunit ribosomal RNA", at positions 338 to 795 of the family's 1533-position model. The record is from RNAcentral.